AAAUCUACAGGAAAGACUGCAACAGGACAGAUCUGCAAGGUCUGGUUCUAUCUAUCUUUUUUCCUAUCUAGAAUACCCUGAUUUAAGAUUUAUGAAUUGAAAGACCUCGAUCCAGGCCUGAUCUGGUUGGGUACCAGAUCUUGAAUUUUUUAGAGGUGAUCUUAGAGGCUUUCUCCAUCUGAAAUGAAAGGCUAACGAAGAAGACAGCGAUCAGGCUGAUUUCGUCAAGGGCCU
This 234-nucleotide long non-coding RNA is filed under the name Elaeis guineensis (African oil palm). RNAcentral describes it as "long non-coding RNA (EGUI_LNC065100)". The record is from RNAcentral. Lineage: Eukaryota; Viridiplantae; Streptophyta; Magnoliopsida; Arecales; Arecaceae.